AAAAAUUUAUAAUACAAAUAUAAAAUAAUAAAUUACAACACAAAAAAUUACAAAUAAAAAAAAUUAACGACAAAUAUUGAUUUAAAAAUUUAAUACAAAGAGUCAAAAUAUAAUUGGACACAAAUUAAAUUAUACAAAAUUCAAAAAAUUUAUCAACAUAAAAUAAAUAACAUUAUUACAAAUUAAGGGAAAAAAUAAAUUAAUAUUUUUUAAA
Molecule: unclassified non-coding RNA, 214 nt
Filed under: Hevea brasiliensis (rubber tree)
Lineage: Eukaryota; Viridiplantae; Streptophyta; Magnoliopsida; Malpighiales; Euphorbiaceae
Source: RNAcentral